This 250-nucleotide ribosomal RNA is filed under the name uncultured bacterium. RNAcentral describes it as "partial 16S ribosomal RNA". It matches the Rfam family "Bacterial small subunit ribosomal RNA", at positions 524 to 773 of the family's 1533-position model. The record is from RNAcentral.
UACGUAGGGGGCAAGCGUUAUCCGGAUUUACUGGGUGUAAAGGGAGCGUAGACGGCUAGACAAGUCUGGAGUGAAAGCCCGGGGCUCAACCCCGGGACUGCUUUGGAAACUGUCAAGCUAGAGUGCAGGAGAGGUAAGUGGAAUUCCUAGUGUAGCGGUGAAAUGCGUAGAUAUUAGGAGGAACACCAGUGGCGAAGGCGACUUACUGGACUGUAACUGACGUUGAGGCUCGAAAGCGUGGGGAGCAAAC